UCACAUGAGCCUUUGUUGCUGAUGCAGG
Molecule: small RNA, 28 nt
Filed under: Bombyx mori (domestic silkworm)
Lineage: Eukaryota; Metazoa; Arthropoda; Insecta; Lepidoptera; Bombycidae
Description: ovarian small RNA-25065
Source: RNAcentral